Molecule: ribosomal RNA, 250 nt
Filed under: uncultured bacterium
Lineage: Bacteria
Description: partial 16S ribosomal RNA
Rfam family: Bacterial small subunit ribosomal RNA
Source: RNAcentral
UACGGAGGACCCGAGCGUUAUCCGGAUUCAUUGGGUUUAAAGGGUGCGUAGGUGGACUGGUAAGUCAGUUGUGAAAGUUUGCGGCUCAACCGUAAAAUUGCAGUUGAUACUGGACGUCUUGAGUGCAUUAAAUGUGGGCGGAAUUCGUGGUGUAGCGGUGAAAUGCUUAGAUAUCACGGAGAACUCCAAUUGCGAAGGCAGCUCACUGGACUGUAACUGACGCUGAUGCUCGAAAGUGUGGGUAUCAAAC